AACGAACGCUGGCGGCAUGCCUAACACAUGCAAGUCGAACGAGCCCUUCGGGUCUAUUGGCGCACGGGUGCGUAACGCGUGGGAACCUGCCCUUAGGUUCGGAAUAACUCCCCGAAAGGGGUGCUAAUACCGGAUAAUGUCUUCGGACCAAAGAUUUAUCGCCUUUGGAUGGGCCCGCGUUGGAUUAGCUAGUUGGUAGGGUAAAAGCCUACCAAGGCGACGAUCCAUAGCUGGUCUGAGAGGAUGAUCAGCCACACUGGGACUGAGACACGGCCCAGACUCCUACGGGAGGCAGCAGUGGGGAAUAUUGGACAAUGGGCGAAAGCCUGAUCCAGCAAUGCCGCGUGAGUGAUGAAGGCCUUAGGGUUGUAAAGCUCUUUUACCCGGGAUGAUAAUGACAGUACCGGGAGAAUAAGCUCCGGCUAACUCCGUG
This 433-nucleotide ribosomal RNA is filed under the name uncultured bacterium. Its description in RNAcentral is "partial 16S ribosomal RNA". It matches the Rfam family "Bacterial small subunit ribosomal RNA", at positions 29 to 507 of the family's 1533-position model. The record is from RNAcentral.